Molecule: ribosomal RNA, 422 nt
Filed under: uncultured bacterium
Lineage: Bacteria
Description: bacterial SSU rRNA
Rfam family: Bacterial small subunit ribosomal RNA
Source: RNAcentral
ACUCCUACGGGAGGCAGCAGUGGGGAAUAUUGCACAAUGGGGGAAACCCUGAUGCAGCCAUGCCGCGUGUGUGAAGAAGGCCUUCGGGUUGUAAAGCACUUUCAGUAGGGAGGAAGGUAGUGUAGUUAACACCUGCAUUAUUUGACGUUACCUACAGAAGAAGCACCGGCUAACUCCGUGCCAGCAGCCGCGGUAAUACGGAGGGUGCGAGCGUUAAUCGGAAUUACUGGGCGUAAAGCGCAUGCAGGCGGCCUGUUAAGUCAGAUGUGAAAGCCCGGGGCUUAACCUCGGAAUUGCAUUUGAAACUGGCAGGCUAGAGUCUUGUAGAGGGGGGUAGAAUUUCAGGUGUAGCGGUGAAAUGCGUAGAGAUCUGAAGGAAUACCAGUGGCGAAGGCGGCCCCCUGGACAAAGACUGACGCUCA